This 496-nucleotide ribosomal RNA is filed under the name uncultured bacterium. RNAcentral's name for it is "partial 16S ribosomal RNA". It matches the Rfam family "Bacterial small subunit ribosomal RNA", at positions 29 to 507 of the family's 1533-position model. The record is from RNAcentral.
AUGCACGCUGGCGGCGUGCCUAAUACAUGCAAGUCGAGCGAACAGACGAGGAGCUUGCUCCUCUGACGUUAGCGGCGGACGGGUGAGUAACACGUGGAUAACCUACCUAUAAGACUGGGAUAACUUCGGGAAACCGGAGCUAAUACCGGAUAAUAUAUUGAACCGCAUGGUUCAAUAGUGAAAGACGGUUUUGCUGUCACUUAUAGAUGGAUCCGCGCCGCAUUAGCUAGUUGGUAAGGUAACGGCUUACCAAGGCAACGAUGCGUAGCCGACCUGAGAGGGCGAUCGGCCACACUGGAACUGAGACACGGUCCAGACUCCUACGGGAGGCAGCAGUAGGGAAUCUUCCGCAAUGGGCGAAAGCCUGACGGAGCAACGCCGCGUGAGUGAUGAAGGUCUUCGGAUCGUAAAACUCUGUUAUUAGGGAAGAACAAAUGUGUAAGUAACUAUGCACGUCUUGACGGUACCUAAUCAGAAAGCCACGGCUAACUACGUG